UCGUAGCUGACCAUCUCGCCGCGUGAAUGACGAGGCCUUCGGGUUGUAAAACUCUGUUGUUCGGGAAGAAAAUGACUGAGCCAAACUGCUCGUGCCCUGACCGUUCCUAGCCGGCAAGCCAAACUCUAUUACGUGCCAGCAGCCGCUAUAAUAACAC
RNAcentral lists this ribosomal RNA (157 nucleotides) under uncultured Geobacillus sp. RNAcentral's name for it is "partial 16S ribosomal RNA". Lineage: Bacteria; Bacillati; Bacillota; Bacilli; Caryophanales; Anoxybacillaceae. The record is from RNAcentral.